CAUGCCAGUAGUGCCACUGUGAAAUACCACAGUUCGCCCUCGUCUUGCUGUAAGUGCACCUGUCGCCGGUGUCGGAGCUGCCCACGUCCUCCUCGCCGCGUGAGGUGUCAGGAUUCUACCACCGGCACAGGCGCAUAGCACAGUCACUUCGUAGCCGGCCAUCCUCCACGGCUGGAUUGAUCGAUCUCGCUAGAAAAUUGACUGCCUUCACAAUAGUGUUGUGAUGGAGUUGAUGAGUGGGCUGAUAAUCAGCUCACUGAGAAAAUAGCAGGGUUGGGUGCAGACUGCAGAAGACCUUGGUCCAAUGUGCAUGGGAUUAUCCAACUGAUUGUCUAGGUAUAAACCAAAGUUGAGUCAUGAAACAUCGAAUUUGUUGUUGCUACCGUGCCUUAGUUUUGGCAUGUUCAUUUCUGCGUAAUUCCUGACCUUUAUGUCUUAUGAGUUUCAAUUAUAUUCUCCAUGCAUUUCCAUAAUGUAUUUGUGCAAUUCCAUUUUGCAUUCACACAUAUUUUUUCUCCUUUUUAUAUUGCUAUUACUGAAAUUACGUUUGCAAUUUUGUAUAAGUAUAGUCUUGCUGACUAGUUGGUCCAGAGAUUUUGGUGCUUGUAAGUAUAGAGAGACGUAAUUUGACAAGGAUAAGUGAUAAACUUCGCACUGUGUCUGGUUCCACAGGUUGAUACCACGAUCAUUAAGGCCAUUGGUUUAUUAGAUGAUCUUGACAAGAGCUUAACACUUAUGCCAAAAGGGUUGUAAAAUGGUAUGGCUGGCACUUCCAAGAGCUCGCUAAAAUAGUGACAUAUAAUAUACAUAAUGCAAAAAAAUUGGAGUUGAUGUCCAAUCGAACAAACACAUUCGAACUUGAUUUCUCUGAUGUAGUUAGAUUUUCGACAUGUCUAAAUAUGAUAGCCAUUCGUAUG
Molecule: long non-coding RNA, 917 nt
Organism: Triticum aestivum (bread wheat)
Lineage: Eukaryota; Viridiplantae; Streptophyta; Magnoliopsida; Poales; Poaceae
Exons: 2
Source: RefSeq, a predicted model, not a curated record